RNAcentral lists this ribosomal RNA (806 nucleotides) under Panjange dinagat. RNAcentral's name for it is "partial 28S ribosomal RNA". It matches the Rfam family "Eukaryotic large subunit ribosomal RNA", at positions 354 to 915 of the family's 3401-position model. Lineage: Eukaryota; Metazoa; Arthropoda; Arachnida; Araneae; Pholcidae. The record is from RNAcentral.
UGAGGGAAAGUUGCAAAGAACUUUGAAGAGAGAGUUCAAGAGUACGUGAAACUGCUCGGAGGGAAACGGGUGGAUCCUCGAAGUCCGAGCGGAGCGGGAUUCAGUGGCGGGCGGCGAGGCGCCUUCUCCGUUCGUACCCGGGUGCGGGGCGUUCGGGGUCGGUGAUCUUCCCGUCAGCCGCGCACUUCUCGCUCCCGACGGACGCCGCAGCCGGUCUGGCGUCGGCAGUGAGGACUGGCCGGGAGAUGGCGUGGGCGGGCGUUUCGCACGUCCGUCCCGAUUCUGUACCGGCCGCCGUCCCGGUGCGACGCCGGUCCGAGGGAAACGUCCGCUCCGGCGGACGAGCCGUGGUCUCGCUCGAGAGAGAGGAGCGGGAGAGUGGUCCGGUCCGACCGGCCGAGUCGUUCACACGAAGUCGUGUUCGACCGGCGAAGGUGCUCCGGAAGGCCGCGACCGACCCGCUGUUGCGAACCGGCGGCUUGCGGCGAGUAGGUCGGUAACCCACCCGACCCGUCUUGAAACACGGACCAAGGAGUAUAACUUGUGCGCGAGUCAGUGGGACUCGAAUAAGCCCACGGGCGCAAUGAAGGUGACAGGGACGUUUUGUCUGUCGCGAUCCCGCAGCCUCCGUGCUCGGGCGCAGCGACGACCCGACGGAACGGCGGUUCUUCCGCCGCUGUCGGUGUCGGAGCGUACAGGUUGUGACCCGAAAGAUGGUGAACUAUGCCCGGGCAGGUCGAAGCUAGAGGAAACUCUGGUGGAGGACCGCAUCGGUUCUGACGUGCAAAUCGAUCGUCGAACCUAGG